GCCGGAGGAGGCAAUCGUUAUCCGGAAUUAUUGGGCGUAAAGGGUACGUAGGCGGCUGGUCAAGUCUGGGGUCAAAGGCCACAGCUCAACUGUGGGAAGGCCCUGGAAACUGACCGGCUAGAGUGAGGUAGGGGUUGCGGGAAUUCCCGGUGUAGCGGUGAAAUGUGUAGAGAUCGAGAAGAACACCUGAGGCGGAAGCGCGCAACUGGGCCUCAACUGACGCUGAGGUACGAAAGCUAGGGGAGCGAAUGGG
Molecule: ribosomal RNA, 253 nt
Filed under: uncultured bacterium
Lineage: Bacteria
Description: partial 16S ribosomal RNA
Rfam family: Bacterial small subunit ribosomal RNA
Source: RNAcentral